AGGCAGCAGUGGGGAAUAUUGGACAAUGGGCGCAAGCCUGAUCCAGCCAUACCGCGUGGGUGAAGAAGGCCUUCGGGUUGUGAAGCCCUUUUGUUGGGAAAGAAAUCCAGCUGGCUAAUACCCGGUUGGGAUGACGGUACCCAAAGAAUAAGCACCGGCUAACUUCGUGCCAGCAGCCGCGGUAA
RNAcentral lists this ribosomal RNA (185 nucleotides) under uncultured bacterium. RNAcentral describes it as "partial 16S ribosomal RNA". It matches the Rfam family "Bacterial small subunit ribosomal RNA", at positions 346 to 523 of the family's 1533-position model. The record is from RNAcentral.